GAACUGCAGGACACAUGAACACCGUUGAACGCAUAUUGCGCAUCGGACGUUUAAACCCGACCGAUGUACACAUUCUUGAGUGCCUA
RNAcentral lists this ribosomal RNA (86 nucleotides) under Anopheles aconitus. Its description in RNAcentral is "partial 5.8S ribosomal RNA". Lineage: Eukaryota; Metazoa; Arthropoda; Insecta; Diptera; Culicidae. The record is from RNAcentral.